This is a long non-coding RNA of Oncorhynchus tshawytscha (Chinook salmon), 988 nucleotides long. The record is from Ensembl. NCBI's taxonomy places the organism in Eukaryota, Metazoa, Chordata, Actinopteri, Salmoniformes, Salmonidae.
CCUGCUCUCUCUUACAUCCCCCCCCUCUCUCAUUCUGUUACAGAACUCUCUCACUCACACAUAGUCACACACAAACAGUUACACUCACACAUACACCACAUUGGACAACAGUUACACACCACAUUUCCCUUGAGCCAGAUGCUACUUUGAGGAAAAGGACACACUGCUGCGGAAGGAUUUUACUUGCUGUUUUUUAAAAAAAAGAAAGGAGUCUAAAAACAGAGACAAAAAAUAACACACGAGACAGUUUGUUCGUGGACAUGGUCAGCAUGACACCCUCCUGUUUGGAUUCCCUCCUCAGGCCAAAAUCCUGAAAAUGAUGGAUGACAACAAGCAGCUGGCUCAGAGGAUCGACGGGGCCAGACAGUCGGCCAGCCAGGAGGUGACCAACCUGCGAUCGGAGCUGACAGCCACCAGCAGCAGACUGGCUGAGCUUGGGGCCACCGACCGGGACCGUGACCCCUUCAUGGAGAAUCACGACCCGCAGCACAACCACCACCGCGGCCCACCCCCCCUCCCCGUGUCAUUGAUGGUCAUCCGGCAUACAUGGUGAAACGCUCCUGGGUGUUCGACCACGGGGCAGGGGUUUCCAGUACCUGGUUUACUGGGAGAGUUAAGGCCCGGAGGAGAGGUGCUGGGUUCCCGCUAGAGACAUCCUGGAUCCAACCCUCAUCACCAACUUCCACCACCGACACCCUGGUCAACCAGGUAUGCGCCCAGGUGUCGCUCAUUGUCCCUGUUGUUUCCUGUCUCUCUGUGGCAGUUCGUCUUGUAUGUUUUUCAAUACAACCAGCAUUUUUUCCCGCACUCCUGCUUCUAUUCUCUUUUGCUAGUCCUCCCUGUUUUGACCCUUGCCUGUUUUCUGGCCUCCGUACCCGCCUGCCUGACCAUUCUGCCUGCCCUAACCUCGAGCCUGCAUGCCACUCUGAACUGGUUUUGACCUUUUUCCUGUCCAGACCAGCCUACCCCUUUUGGAUUGUUUAAUAAA